AGAGUUUGAUCCUGGCUCAGAACGAACGCUGGCGGCAGGCUUAACACAUGCAAGUCGAACGCACCGCAAGGUGAGUGGCAGACGGGUGAGUAACGCGUGGGAACGUACCUUUCGGUUCGGAAUAACCCAGGGAAACUUGGGCUAAUACCGAAUUCGCCGGAAACGGGAAAGAUUUAUCGCCGAAAGAUCGGCCCGCGUCGGAUUAGCUAGUUGGUGGGGUAAUGGCCUACCAAGGCGACGAUCCGUAGCUGGUCUGAGAGGAUGAUCAGCCACACUGGGACUGAGACACGGCCCAGACUCCUACGGGAGGCAGCAGUGGGGAAUAUUGGACAAUGGGCGCAAGCCUGAUCCAGCCAUGCCGCGUGAGUGAAGAAGGCCUUAGGGUUGUAAAGCUCUUUCAGCGGGGACGAUAAUGACGGUACCCGCAGAAGAAGCCCCGGCUAACUUCGUGCCAGCAGCCGCGGUAAUACGAAGGGGGCUAGCGUUGUUCGGAAUUACUGGGCGUAAAGCGCGCGUAGGCGGACAUUUAAGUCAGGGGUGAAAUCCCAGGGCUCAACCCUGGAACUGCCUUUGAUACUGGAUGUCUGGAGUUCGGGAGAGGUGAGUGGAAUUCCGAGUGUAGAGGUGAAAUUCGUAGAUAUUCGGAGGAACACCAGAAGCGAAGGCGGCUCACUGGCCCGAUACUGACGCUGAGGCGCGAAAGCGUGGGGAGCAAACAGGAUUAGAUACCCCGGUAGUCC
This 740-nucleotide ribosomal RNA is filed under the name uncultured Hyphomicrobiales bacterium. RNAcentral's name for it is "bacterial SSU rRNA". It matches the Rfam family "Bacterial small subunit ribosomal RNA", at positions 8 to 796 of the family's 1533-position model. Lineage: Bacteria; Pseudomonadati; Pseudomonadota; Alphaproteobacteria; Hyphomicrobiales. The record is from RNAcentral.